CAGAGUGAUGUGGUUUUCAGCCCAGAUUGUAGCUCCUUCCACGGCGACAAGAUGGGUCUUACCUGCCUGGGGGCAGGUGCUAAAAUCAACACUGUGUGAUGAGUAGGUGUAACCAUCUGUAGUUCCUCCUUGCUGACUCCUGGCCCAGCGACCAGCCCGCGUCUAUCAAGGCAGCCCAACAACAUCUUACACAACGACAUAAACCUGCUGGGCACCCAGUGUGGAAACAGACAAGUAUAAAAGCCAGGUGCUGGUGAUUUGAUAAAGUAGAGAGACUUUCUAGAAAGUUUCUAGCAAUCAAUAGAAAUGACUCUGUGUUACAUACAAACUGAAAUGCUACAGUUUGGUACAUAAGUCUAAUAUCCAGGUGAAUAUGAU
This 378-nucleotide long non-coding RNA is filed under the name Chinchilla lanigera (long-tailed chinchilla). Its description in RNAcentral is "lncRNA (ENSCLAG00000024485.1)". Lineage: Eukaryota; Metazoa; Chordata; Mammalia; Rodentia; Chinchillidae. The record is from RNAcentral.